GUCGAGAAUCUUUCACAAUGGGGGCAACCCUGAUGGAGCGACGCCGCGUGGAGGAUAAGGUCUUCGGAUUGUAAACUCCUGUCAUGCGUGAACAAGGUUGCUUGGUUAAUACCUGGGCAAAUUGAUGGUAACGCAAGAGGAAGAGACGGCUAACUCUGUGCCAGCAGCCGCGGUAAUACGAAGGUCCCAAGCGUUGUUCGGAAUCACUGGGCGUAAAGGGUGCGUAGGUGGCGUGGUAAGUCAGAUGUGAAAGCCCGGGGCUCAACCUCGGAACUGCAUCCGAUACUGCCAUGCUAGAGUACUGGAGAGGUGACUAGAAUUCUCGGUGUAGCAGUGAAAUGCGUAGAUAUCGAGAGGAAUACCAAAGGCGUAGGCAGGUCACUGGACAGUUACUGACACUGAGGCACGAAGGCCAGGGGAGCGAACGGGAUUAGAAACCCGUGUAGUCC
This 449-nucleotide ribosomal RNA is filed under the name uncultured bacterium. RNAcentral's name for it is "partial 16S ribosomal RNA". It matches the Rfam family "Bacterial small subunit ribosomal RNA", at positions 354 to 796 of the family's 1533-position model. The record is from RNAcentral.